Molecule: long non-coding RNA, 2182 nt
Organism: Canis lupus familiaris (dog)
Lineage: Eukaryota; Metazoa; Chordata; Mammalia; Carnivora; Canidae
Exons: 3
Source: RefSeq, a predicted model, not a curated record
CAGUGGGCUCGCGGUCGCCCUGCCAGGCGCAGAGCCGCUCCAGGAUGCUCUCCUCCCUCAGGAGGCCUGCUGUGGGCCGGCUCUGCAACAGCUGAGGGGGCGGCGGGUCAGCACUCAGGCAUCCACGGCCACCCCUCACCGCCGCGGGGAAGCAGGCUCACCCCCGUGAAGAAGGCCAUGGCCGUAAGGCGCUGCGUGUCGUCGGGGCUGCGCAGCUGGGGCAGCACGUUCCCAAAAAGGCCCCGCAGCACCUGGCCAGCAGCAGGACACCUUCUAGGUGGGUGUGGGCUCCCACCAGCCUUCUCCAGCCCCCGGCCUGCUCCAUGCACGUGACCACCAUGCGGCCACCAUCCCCGGUGAGCAGAGCCUUCAAGGCUUCCACAGCACAGCUGCAGGGCCGGCGGCAGGGGGUCAGGGUGAGGAGGGCGCUGGCCCAGCCCCCACUUCUCCCUGGCGCUUGCCCCUCACCUGACGUGGCUGUGCGGGGGCCCUCGGUGCCAUGGGGCCUGCACCUUAGGGGCGUCCGGGGAGCGCACACGCCGCGCCAGCCGGUGUAGCUGCGUGACCAGCACGAGCAGGAGGUGUGGGUAGAAGCCCCGAGUGGCACCCACGCAGCCAGACACAGCCAGCAUCUCCCCGAGGGCCCGAGUGGCCUGCAGAACAAGGAGCUGGGCUCAGGCCCUGGUGCCCCGCACACCGAGAGCUCCAGGACAAAGCCGCGGACACCUGAGGACCAGACUGAGGAGCAGCUGCCGCCCCGGCUCCUGCCCCUGGGCCCUGGGGAGUCUCCUACCGCCAGCGCCUCCAGCUCAGGCCCGGCUUCGUUCCUCAACGCCCACAGCAGCUGGACCAGCACCUGCCCGUUUACGCGCUGGUUCCGGCUCAGGCUGCGCCACAGCUCGGCGGCUGCCCUGGGGGGACGGAGCACCUGAGACGGGGAGUCCCCCUGCCCCCGCAAACCCCGGAGAACCAGAAUGAGUGGCGUCUGUGUAGACUACCCCAAACCCCGCGUAGAGCCAGCAGCAGGGAAACGAAGCUGGAUUGCACGUGGUCACUGCAGAGGAUGAAACCAAAGAAAACGUCUCCUGGGCAGGUUAACAGAGGAGCCAGGGGCCUUGGGGCCAAGAAGCCAGCUGGCUUGCUCGUCCCACCCUGGAGCCCUGGGCUGGGCUCCCAGCGUGACCUGGGGGCAAUGGCAGGGCCCCGAGCCGGGCCCCCCAGGCAUAACUGUCCGGGGGACUCACCGGGCCGAGACGGUCCUGAAGACCCCGCGGAUCUCCUGGGCCUGCUGAAGCAAGUCACCGCUGUCCAAUCGUAUGCCUACUGCGCGGUAGCCCAGUUCCCCCAGGGCCAGGGCUACUGCCAGGAAGUUAGGAAGACCGCUCCUGUGGGCGGGUACAAGAAGGGUGCGUGAGGGGCUGUGGCCGCUCUGCAGAGCCCACCCAGGGGAGCACCUGGGCCUCACCUUUGCACGCUGUAGGUGUCCAGCAGGCCCUGGAAGGCCUGGGGAAAAGCCAGGGCAUAGGCCACAAAGGCUGCCCGCUCCCCCCGGUGGGGCUCCUGCACCCCCAGCCCCAGAUGGGCACACACGCCAUCCAGCCAUGCCUCCACACGAGCAGUCAGGUCCACCUUGGGUCCUGGACUGGCGGCUGGAGCCAACAUCUACGGAGAGGGCUCAGUGAAGGCUGGGCAGUCCCUCGUGCAGGGGGAGGUCUGAGCGGGGGCAGUGCCACCACCGGGGCUACCUGCCAGGGUGGCUCAGGUGGACCACCCUCCCCUGAGCAAGGACUGGCUUUGGGGUCUGCUGUCUGGAGUGCAGCAGGGAUGAGAGGUACUGACCGGGUCGGGGGGCACCUCAGUGCCCGAAAAGGAGGUGACGAAAGAGUGGGCCAGGGUUCCCGCCAGGGGCACACCCCGCAGCUGUCCUGCAAGCACAUUGCUGCUGCCAUCAAAACCUGGGCCGGGGGUCAGGCGUGGGGUCAGGCGGGGCUGGAGGGCUCCGGGCAGGUCUCCUUCCCCGCCCCUGCCUCCCUCCUCCGGCUCUCACCGCCUAGGUAGCUGUAGGUGGAGGCCGUGAGACCCCCAUCGGGGCCCUGGGCUCGCCGCAGCCCCAUCUCCAACAGCCGCUUCUCGGGGCCCGCGAUCAGGCGAAGGCGCGCAGCGUUGGUGGCGAUGAGGCUGU